CAUCUUCAUCCUCUUCUAGACUCGGACCCACAUCAUCAUCAUAUUUGACAUUUACAGAAUCUUAACGGAUAAGAAUGACAUUCGGCUUGGCUUAAUAAGAACACUUCUUGUGGGUUCACUGGGAUUAUAUACAUUCACAGAGAGAGAGAGAGAGAGAGAGAGAGAGAGAGAGAGAGAGAGAUGCUGGUGUCCCUUGGCACCCUCCAAAAGCCAUAUUAAGGUAUUAAGGUAAGUACCAACUUCAAACUACUAUAUAUUUUUCUUUUUUUCACUCCUAACAAGAUUUUCUGAGAUCCUUCUUAGCAUCUAAUGCUGUAAAUAAACUCCGAACACGUAUAAUUCCUUGAAAAUUACAUAUUAAGUCAUUCGGAAUUAAAUAUUAAGUUCAGUGGCACUUUUUUUUUUUUUAAUCUUCUGAAGAUAUCUCAAAUCCGAAUCCCCCGUAAACUAGAUAUUAUCCAUUAAUUGAUCUACGCGUUUUGCUGUUCAUGUUAAUUUUGUAGUAUAUAAAUGCAAGGGACUUGUUAAUGAAUAUGGAUAAGGAAGAGGGAUAAGGGGAGAAUAUAUAGGAGGAAGAAGAAAAAGACACAAAAAUAAUCUUCAAGCUCAAGCGACGUCUAGCCAUGGUGAUCCAGAGGCUGGAAAUGUGUAUAGAGCUGAUGAAACUGGCCCUGGAGUUUGUCCUCCUUGUAGCUCAAGCAGUGGAGAUAGCCCUUCAGCACAACGUGUCUCCAUUCACCAGCUAUUCAGCUUAUAGCAGUGUUCCAGUUCAUUUUGUUGGUUUUAUUCCAUAAGUUAUAUUCAUCAUUUUCAUAUCUCUCAUGUAAAGCUUCAGGUUGGUGCAAAUUAACUCUACUUUUUUAAGAGCUUAAUUUCCUUUUUCCAGUAGAGAUUUGUAGCUUUAUUCAUUUGUGAGAAAAAUCUACCCAUAUAUAUGCUUGUGAAUUUAGUCAUGGAAUUUUUUUGGCCGUAUGAUUUACAGCUGAUAUGGUAAUGUUUGAGACCAUUGUCAAUUUUCAAUCUCC
Molecule: long non-coding RNA, 1025 nt
Filed under: Prunus dulcis (almond)
Lineage: Eukaryota; Viridiplantae; Streptophyta; Magnoliopsida; Rosales; Rosaceae
Description: sRNA ncRNA
Source: RNAcentral